CGCCUCUUGCGUCCUUUCGGCCCCAAGCGCCAGUUCGGGCAGAGCCUUUGAAGAGGGAGGAGCACUGCUUGAGAGCUCCCCUCUCCCUCCUAAAUUUAGGACUUUCUUUGUUCAACUGUAAUGGGACAGGGUUGGCAUCCCUGGAAAAAGAUAAGGAUGACCCCACAUUGGCGCCUGUGAAGCCCGCUGGUCCUGAUCAACACCCACUAGUGGUGCCGAUGGCCGUUGGGCCUCCUGUUCCAUCAUUUGCACCGCCUGAGCCAUUGGAGCCUUCACCAGUUGAGCAGCCCACACCAACACCAUCAGGGUGCAGGUGGAGCAGCAGCUUCUGUGCGUGUUGUCAUCUGCAGCCACUCUUGGGUCUUCUGGGCUUUCAAGCGAGCCAGCACCUCACAAAUGAUGCCUGCUAUCAUCUCAGAAGGAGCAUCCCCUCCCAUGUGUGAGAGAAGGGGGAAUCAAAUCUCUCUCUUAACAUUGUGCUUAUAAACCACAGUGUUUGUAUUAAAAAUAAUGGCCCACUUGCUAUGCAUUGGGAAAUUGACUAGAGGUUGACUACAGCCUUAGUAGCUGUAGUAUCAAUACAUGGCCCAGUUUCAGUGAUACAAAGAUAUGUAUCCAUUUGGAUAAAGAUAUUUAUCUAUAGCUGGUACAGAGAGUCAUUUUCUCUUUCAGAUAUGACAUAGAACAUGGACUGAAACAGGCAGGAUGUCCAAACAAAACAGAUGGCAAAGCUAUUUUAUUUAUAUAGUACCAACCAAU
Long non-coding RNA from Hemicordylus capensis (graceful crag lizard), 759 nucleotides. RefSeq lists it as uncharacterized. The record is from RefSeq and is a predicted model, not a curated record. The transcript has 4 exons. NCBI's taxonomy places the organism in Eukaryota, Metazoa, Chordata, Lepidosauria, Squamata, Cordylidae.